AACGAACGCUGGCGGCAGGCCUAACACAUGCAAGUCGAGCGGACCUUUCGGGGUCAGCGGCGGACGGGUGAGUAACGCGUGGGAAUAUGCCCUUCUCUACGGAAUAGUCCUGGGAAACUUGGGGUCAUACCGCAUACGCUCUUUGGGGGAAAGAUCUCUCGGGGCAGGAUUAGCCCGCGUUGGAUUAGGUAGUUGGUGGGGUAAUGGCCUACCAAGCGGACGAUCCAUAGCUGGUUGGGGAGGAUGCUCAGCCACACUGGGCCUGAGACACGGACCAGACUCCGACGGAAGGCAGCAGUGUGGAAUAUUAGGCAAGGGGGGCAACUCUGAUCUAGCCAUGCCGGGUGAGUGAGGAAGGGCGUAGGGUUGUAAAGCUCUUUCAGCUGGGAAGAGAAUGACGGUACCAGCAGAAGAAGCCCCGGCUAACUCCGUG
RNAcentral lists this ribosomal RNA (433 nucleotides) under uncultured bacterium. RNAcentral describes it as "partial 16S ribosomal RNA". It matches the Rfam family "Bacterial small subunit ribosomal RNA", at positions 29 to 507 of the family's 1533-position model. The record is from RNAcentral.